RNAcentral lists this long non-coding RNA (540 nucleotides) under Gallus gallus (chicken). RNAcentral's name for it is "lncRNA (ENSGALG00010019022.1)". Lineage: Eukaryota; Metazoa; Chordata; Aves; Galliformes; Phasianidae. The record is from RNAcentral.
CCAACCCUUCCCAGACCUCAUUUAAGGAUUGUCAGUGUAAGCAAGGGAAUCUUGUUGCAGAUCACUGUAUGCCUGAAGCCUUCCAAGGGUAUCAGGUAACCCAACACACAUCAGAGCUGCUGUCACUGUGGUCUUUGGUCUUCCCUGGGUGAAGUAGGAAAGCAAACAAGCUGGGAUGCUCUUUACAUUUCAUGCAUUUAUUUGAUGCUCUUAAAUGACAGGAGUAUGGAGUAAUCAUCAUACAGAAAAGUUUUGGAAAGGUGGAACAACAGCUGGAAGGACCCUGCUUCCUAACCAGAGCAGAAGGAGGAACUUGAUGGCUACCAGAGCUGUGAGAGAAGGAAGUUCAGAGGUGGGGAAAACAGAGAUAACAACAUAGAUUGGAAAGAGACAAGCAUGUGAAAAAACAGAUAAAAGGAGCCAACUGGAUGUAAAGCAGUAAUUACACCAAGCUCUUUUUAGCAACAGAAACUGAGGAACAGAUCUUGAACUUCAGUGAAUGGAAAGAAAAUGGGAACUGAUCUUAUUCUACAACUGAGC